Molecule: ribosomal RNA, 253 nt
Filed under: uncultured bacterium
Lineage: Bacteria
Description: partial 16S ribosomal RNA
Rfam family: Bacterial small subunit ribosomal RNA
Source: RNAcentral
UACGUAGGGGUCGAGCGUUGUCCGGAGUUACUGGGCGUAAAGCGCGCGCAGGUGGCUCAUUACGCCCGGCGUGAAAGCCCCCGGCCUAACCGGGGAAGGUCGUCGGGUACGGGUGAGCUUGAGGGUAUCAGGGGCUGGUGGAAUUCCCGGUGUAGUGGUGAAAUGCGUAGAGAUCGGGAGGAACACCCGUGGCGAAGGCGGCCAGCUGGGAUACACCUGACACUGAGGCGCGAAGGCGUGGGGAGCGAACGGG